This 273-nucleotide ribosomal RNA is filed under the name Acinetobacter nosocomialis. RNAcentral's name for it is "partial 23S ribosomal RNA". It matches the Rfam family "Bacterial large subunit ribosomal RNA", at positions 1178 to 1452 of the family's 2925-position model. The record is from RNAcentral. Lineage: Bacteria; Pseudomonadati; Pseudomonadota; Gammaproteobacteria; Moraxellales; Moraxellaceae.
GGGCUAAAACUAUGUGCCGAAGCUGCGGAUUUGACAUUAGUCAAGUGGUAGGGGAGCGUUCUGUAAGCCGAUGAAGGUGUAUUGAGAAGUAUGCUGGAGGUAUCAGAAGUGCGAAUGCUGACGUGAGUAACGACAAAACGGGUGAAAAACCCGUUCGCCGAAAGACCAAGGGUUCCAGUCCAACGUUAAUCGGGGCUGGGUGAGUCGACCCCUAAGGCGAGGCCGAAAGGCGUAGUCGAUGGGAAAUUGGUUAAUAUUCCAAUACUUCUGUGU